UGGGGGAUAUUGCACAAUGGGCGAAAGCCUGAUGCAGCGACGCCGCGUGGGGGAUGAAGGCUUUCGGGUUGUAAACCUCUUUCGCUAUCGAACAAGGCCCGCUUAGGGUGGGUUGAGGGUAGGUGGAGAAGAAGCGCCGGCUAACUACGUGCCAGCAGCCGCGGUAAUACGUAGGGCGCGAGCGUUGUCCGGAAUCAUUGGGCGUAAAGGGCUUGUAGGCGGCUUGUUGCGCCUGCUGUGAAAACGCGGGGCUUCACUUCGCGCGUGCAGUGGGUACGGGCAGGCUUGAGUGUGGUAGGGGUGACUGGAAUUCCAGGUGUAGCGGUGGAAUGCGCGGAUAUCUGGAGGAACACCGAUGGCGAAGGAAGGUCACUGGGCCAUUACUGACGCUGAGGAGCGAAAGCAUGGGUAGCGAACAGG
Molecule: ribosomal RNA, 420 nt
Filed under: bacterium
Lineage: Bacteria
Description: partial 16S ribosomal RNA
Rfam family: Bacterial small subunit ribosomal RNA
Source: RNAcentral